Molecule: long non-coding RNA, 1286 nt
Filed under: Numida meleagris (helmeted guineafowl)
Lineage: Eukaryota; Metazoa; Chordata; Aves; Galliformes; Numididae
Description: lncRNA (ENSNMEG00000007265.1)
Source: RNAcentral
AUGGAGGAACAACAAAAAGGGAGGAAAAGGAAACAAAAAGGGAGGAAAAGGAAACAAAAAGGGAGGAAAAGGAAACAAAAAGGGAGGAAAAGGAAACAAAAAGGGAGGAAAAGGAAACAAAAAGGGAGGAAAAGAGGGAAAAAAAAAAAGAGGAAAAUUCUUCCAGACUUCCAAAAUAACACGAAACUCAGAAGCGAAAGAAAAACCCCUCUGCUUUCUUCAGUGUUCACACAGAGGUCCGGGGAAACGAACGCCGUGGAGAAGAGCACACCGACACGAUCCCGGGACCCGCUGCCUGGUUGCCCCGGGGCCGGCGGGAGGCUCCGGCGGGGCAGCGCCCAGCCCCGCUCCCUGCCCCUCCACACCCGGUGCCGCUGCGCUGAGCCGCGAGGAGUGCACCGCCCAGAGCCCUUCUCUCCUCGUCGCCCCGUGCUUACCGCAGCCCCCAGAGACUCGUCCCACCCCCGCGGGGCUGCGGCCGCUCCUCCUGCCCGGUGCCCACUGCAGCCCCAGCAGUGGAGAAGGAGGGAGGGACUUGAAAGGCUCCGUGAUGACACGCAGCACAUAUAGCUCGCUCUUAUGCACACCCCGCCGGGCAGCUCGGCCGCUGACGUGACCGCACCCGGCAGCUCGGAGCUGCCUUCGGGCCGUGAGAGCAGCACCUGCCUCUUGCGCAGCCCCGCUCGCUGCAGGAUAGAGCUGGGUUUCCUCCCGCUGCUCCUCGAGUUGCUUUUCUGAAGGAAGAAGGAAUGGGUCGCUGGAGUUUGCCUUCACAACUUCACAGCUGCGAGAGUGGCCUAACUGUAUCUGAUAAAGCACAAACAACACACAGACCUUGGAAGAAUAUGUUUUCAACCCAGUAAAAGCAAAACUCUGCUUCAGAAAAACGUCUCCUGCAGAGAAAACUACAUUUAUGUGGUGUGUGAGAGUGAUUUCUCUCCAAGGUUUUCACAGUUUGGCACGUGGCUGCACGUUUCCAUCGCCCUUUAUGGUGUGCUGCCAACAAAUGGUUAGCUCAACCGUGGGCAACCUAUGGAGAUCUCAAAAAAAGUUGGUUUUUUUUUUUUUGCUGUGCAACGAACACAGCAAUAGCUGAAAGACCUCUGUGAUCACGAAGAGCUUUCAAGAAACAGGUAACACUGAGGCAAAACUCUAUGUGAUUUGAGCUCUACUACCAGUGAACCCCAGAAAAACCACCUGCGGGCAGGUGAACAGGGGUCAGGUGCCCAAAGCUCUGCACCGCCACAAGUGAGGCUCUCUGAAAGCUGGGCACAGAUAGCAGGGUG